RNAcentral lists this ribosomal RNA (378 nucleotides) under uncultured eukaryote. Its description in RNAcentral is "partial 18S ribosomal RNA". It matches the Rfam family "Eukaryotic small subunit ribosomal RNA", at positions 593 to 976 of the family's 1831-position model. The record is from RNAcentral.
AAUAGCGUAUAUUUAAGUUGUUGCAGUUAAAAAGCUCGUAGUUGGAUUUCGGAUGGGAUUUGCCGGUCCGUCGUUACGAUGUGCACUGGCCAGUCCUAUCUUGUUGUCGGGGACUAGCUCCUUGGAUUCACUUCCUGGGACUAGGAGCUGACGAGGUUACUUUGAGUAAAUUAGAGUGUUCAAAGCAAGCCUACGCUCUGAAUACAUUAGCAUGGAAUAACACGAUAGGACUCUGGCUUAUCUUGUUGGUCUGUGAGACCAGAGUAAUGAUUAAGAGGGACAGUCGGGGACAUUCGUAUUUCAUUGUCAGAGGUGAAAUUCUUGGAUUUAUGAAAGACGAACUUCUGCGAAAGCAUUUGUCAAGGAUGUUUUCAUUAA